AUUUUUUAAUAGGUGAUUUCAGGAACAUUAGAUUUCGUUAUGUCAAAAUGAUUGUUUUGCCAAAAUUGGUAUUAAGAAGGAAUUAUGAAUUUCCAUGAUUUAUAUCAACUGCUCAAAUAUUGGUAUUGUAAUAACCCUAUAGGUUAUAAGGACUAGAAAUCUUGACAGUGACAAACUACAGUUUAAAGUAUUUGUUUUUAAAUAUACAAGUCUCCAAUGUUCAGCAAUGAGCAUUAUUAAUUACAAUUAAUAUUUGCGAAAUAUUAUUACAAUUUAUUCCUUGAUGGAAAGGCAAAAUAUUCAGUGACCAUAACAAAUCAUUCAGAAAUCCUUCUAAUAUGAUGAUUUGGUCGUGCUGCUUAAUAUUUUUGUUUCAGGAUUAUUUGAUGAAUAGAAAGGGAAGCAUUUCAAAGGAAGAGCAUUUAUUUGAAAUAUAUAUCUAAUAUUCUAAUAUUAGUUUUAAUCAUAUUUUAUAUAGUUUUAAUAAGUUUUAAUUUCUUUAAAAAAUCUUACUGACCCGAAAUGUUUGAAUGAUAGUGUUUACAGAAAGGCAGAUACUGCUGACAGCUGAACCGACUCGGUCUGUCCAGUAGCAUUUUGUAGAUGCUAAAAGCAAAAAACAUUAAUCAGUGCAAUUAAAUAACAGUGAAUAUGUUUUUUUUUUUUUUUAUUCUUUCAAAAUAGGUUCCUACUCCCUCUGUAUGGGUCUGGAGAGCUCGAUUAUCUGCUGUCUCGAUCCUGUGAUCCAGUAUCUGACUGAGUUUAAGCUAGAGAAGAUUUGUUCCAGCUCGUUCAAGCAGCUGUCGAGUGACUUUGACCACAUGCACUUCAAUGCUGCUACCACGAAGAACCUGGAAAUCCUGUGCAACCAGGCCAGUAAAAGAUGUUGGUUUGUUGGUUUGGAUGACUUCCUCUUCAUGGCCAUCGGACCACAGGUUCAGGAAAAGGCAGUCUGCUCUGGGAUCUGGAUCACACUCAAACUCCAUUUGGGAAGAGACUGUUAAGAAAGUAGGUGAGCCAGCAGCUGAAGUCUGUGAUGUGAGUCAUUAUUUAAUGUUAUUAUUCAGUAUCACAGUGAUUUGAAUGCUAGUAUGGAAGAUGCAGAGUGUUUCCAGUGCUGAAGAGUAGUGGCAUGCCCAGAUCUUCACUACACUACAAAUAACAUUGAGCUCUGAACUCCGAGCCUAGGUUAAUCCAAGUCCUAGAAUAUUUUGAAAAGAGAGGAACUUUGCACCCCUCUUUUCAACUACUGGCAGGAUUAAAUUUCUAUUCUGGCUAAAAAAAACAUAGAUUAUAGAUUAUAGGAAAACACAAUUGUUUAUAAAAUGGAUAACCUGUUGUAAAAUGCAAAAAAAUCAAAUUCAUUAUUUAUGUUUUCUCCCCAAAAUUAAAUUGGCCAGACUCUGUAAAACAGAUGCCAUAUAUAUACGCCUUUUAAAGGUUGUGGGGGAUUGUUUGGAUCUGUGUGUGAAGUAAAACAUGCUUGCAAAGUAUUCAAUUAUGUUUGUGGAGAAUAAAUAAAUAAAUAAAUAUUUAAUUCCAAAUAACAAUCUUAAUCUUAAAUCCACAUAUUUUCCUGCCAAACUUCUUAACAGAGAUGUCGGGGAGAAUUUUUGAAUUGAGUCUAUCAUGCCAGUGAAUGUGAAUUUCUAUGAAAAUGCUGGAGUGUCUGUGGAAGGAUUGGGUAAUGCAGUUAGAUCAGGAAAUGAUCUUAAACUGUCUUUACCAACCUCAUAAAUGGGUCAGCCUAAAAAAUUCUAAAGUUUGGAGUCAUUUGGUUUUCAAAAUAAAUUAUUAUUUUCAUUCAUAAUAUUAUAAUAUUAUUAGAGUUGUUCCGAUUCCGAUACUAGUAUCGGAAAUAUCUCCGAUACCACAACAAAUUCUGGCAUCGGCAUCGGCGAGUACAUGAACCCAUAUACCGAUCCGAUACCAUUUUCUUAAAAAAGACCUAGUUAUGACCGCAAGCUUUGCCUAACCGCUGCACGGUUCUUCUUCGCUGCUCAAAAUGCAUUGAAAACACAGGAAGUUGUGCUGUGUUGCCACAAGCAACCCCUGUUUAGAGCAGCGAAGAAGAAAUGAAAACGCGUUAGCAGCCCUUAUCUAUAUAUGACUGGAUCACUCAUCACAUUCUAAACUGCCAAAAGACAGUGAAGCCGCUACUAUAUUAUAGAUCAGUGGUUAGCAGUAUGUCUCUGUAGUACCGGUAGUUACAGACUCUCGAGUAUAUUCAGUACCGGCAACUGCGUUCAGUCGCUUCCGUGUAAGUCAAAACGCAGGGCUCCAGACAGUAGCCGAAUAUAUACUAGUGUCUGUGAAUAUUAAACUGCAAAAUACUAUUUAAAUAUUACUCCCGCAAAAUCUACAUCUCUGUGGGUGACUGGCACAGAUGCGCGAGAGCUCGCUGUUUUGUAGUCUCUGCUGUGUGUCAUGAGGACACGAACGCAUAAACCGUCACUUCAUGAGAAUUUACCGUUUCAUUUGAGAAUACUGUCAUAUCAUAAACACAGACACUCAAAGAUCUUCAUGGCAGCCCAUUAAAAUAAAUGUUUGGUUUACAUGAGUAAAUUGACAAUAUAUAAAGCUACUGUUGUAGCCUACAGUAAUAAUAAUACAUCUCUAUAAUAAUAAUAAUUAUGCCUAGAUGGUUGCUUGUUUUUUACUUGUUAGAGAUUAUCUGAUUAAUAGAUCUUUUUUUAUAUUCCUAGACUUAUUUGUUGCAGUUUUUUUAUACAGUUAUAUUGUAAAACUUAAAUACCUUUUUUAGUUUGCGGUGUUAGAUUUUUGGCUGCAUUUGAAGUUCUUUUUUGCAUAAGAAAAUAAAUAAUACUGUCAAAUUCAUGUUAGAUAAUAAAAAUACUGUAAUAAAUACAGUAGUUCACCAUGUAUUUGUUCAUGUUUUAUUGAGGGAUCUGUCUGAAGCACACCAUAAAAAAAUUCUAGCAAUUUACACAGGGCUAGUAGUAUAUACAGCUGUAUAUACAGAUAUACACCCAGGUAUCGGAUCAGUACUCGGUAUCGGCCGAUACCCUGAGCCCAGGUAUCGGAAUCCGUAUCGGGAAGAGAAAAAGGGUAUCGGAACAUCUCUAAAUAUUAUUAUAUAUUUUUUUGCAUUAAAAUGAUCCAAAGUGACAGUUAAGGCAAUAUAACAUGUUACAAUUGAUAUACAUUUAAGAUAAAUGCUGUUCUUUUGAAAUUUGUUCAUCCAAGAAUUUUGAAAAAAAAAAAAAAACUAUAUUUUUUUCCCACAAAAAUGUUAAGUUGUUGUCAACAUGGAUAAUAAUAGGAAAUGUUUCCUGAGCUUCAAAUCAGCACAUUAAAAUGAUUUCUGAAAGAUCAUGUGACACUGAAGACUGGAGUAAUUACUCCUGAAAA
Molecule: long non-coding RNA, 3372 nt
Organism: Carassius auratus (goldfish)
Lineage: Eukaryota; Metazoa; Chordata; Actinopteri; Cypriniformes; Cyprinidae
Source: Ensembl